UCGGAAUCAUUGGGCGUAAAGCGCCCGUAGGCGGUCCAGCAAGUGGGGCGUGAAAGCCCUCGGCUUAACCGAGGAAGUGCUUUCCAAACUACUGGACUUGAGUACUGAAGAGGGUCGCGGAAUUCCCGGUGUAGAGGUGAAAUUCGUAGAUAUCGGGAGGAACACCAGUGGCGAAGGCGGCGACCUGGGCAGAUACUGACGCUGAGGUGCGAAAGCGUGGGGAGCAAACAGG
This 232-nucleotide ribosomal RNA is filed under the name uncultured bacterium. RNAcentral describes it as "partial 16S ribosomal RNA". It matches the Rfam family "Bacterial small subunit ribosomal RNA", at positions 545 to 776 of the family's 1533-position model. The record is from RNAcentral.